AGUGAACGCUGGCGGUAGGCCUAACACAUGCAAGUCGAACGGCAGCACAGUAAGAGCUUGCUCUUACGGGUGGCGAGUGGCGGACGGGUGAGGAAUACAUCGGCAUCUACUUUUUCGUGGGGGAUAACGUAGGGAAACUUACGCUAAUACCGCAUACGACCUACGGUUGAAAGCAGGGGAUCUUCGAACCUUUCGCGAUUGAAUGAGCCGAUGUCGGAUUAGCUAGUUGGCGGGGUAAAGGCCCACCAAGGCGACGAUCCGUAGCUGGUCUGAGAGGAUGAUCAGCCACACUGGAACUGAGACACGGUCCAGACUCCUACGGGAGGCAGCAGUGGGGAAUAUUGGACAAUGGGCGCAAGCCUGGUCCAGCCAUACCGCGUGGGUGAAGAAGGCCUUCGGGUUGUAAAGCCCUUUUGUUGGGAAAGAAAAGCAGCAGGUUAAUACCCCGCUGUUCUGACGGUACCCAAAGAAUAAGCACCGGCUAACUUCGUG
Molecule: ribosomal RNA, 492 nt
Filed under: uncultured bacterium
Lineage: Bacteria
Description: partial 16S ribosomal RNA
Rfam family: Bacterial small subunit ribosomal RNA
Source: RNAcentral